This is a non-coding RNA of Mycena polygramma, 92 nucleotides long. NCBI's taxonomy places the organism in Eukaryota, Fungi, Basidiomycota, Agaricomycetes, Agaricales, Mycenaceae. The record is from the annotation of a GenBank genome assembly.
GCCCUCGUAGAUCAGCGGUAGAUCAUCCGCAUCCAUUGCGCACAGGAACUCCAUGUAAGUGGACGAAGCGGGUUCAAUUCCCGCCGAGGGCA